This 472-nucleotide ribosomal RNA is filed under the name uncultured bacterium. Its description in RNAcentral is "bacterial SSU rRNA". It matches the Rfam family "Bacterial small subunit ribosomal RNA", at positions 328 to 793 of the family's 1533-position model. The record is from RNAcentral.
CGCUAUCACUCCUUCGGGAGGCAGCAGUGGGGAAUAUUGCACAAUGGGGGAAACCCUGAUGCAGCCAUGCCGCGUGUGUGAAGAAGGCCUUCGGGUUGUAAAGCACUUUCAGUAGGGAGGAAGGUAGUGUAGUUAACACCUGCAUUAUUUGACGUUACCUACAGAAGAAGCACCGGCUAACUCCGUGCCAGCAGCCGCGGUAAUACGGAGGGUGCGAGCGUUAAUCGGAAUUACUGGGCGUAAAGCGCAUGCAGGCGGCCUGUUAAGUCAGAUGUGAAAGCCCGGGGCUUAACCUCGGAAUUGCAUUUGAAACUGGCAGGCUAGAGUCUUGUAGAGGGGGUAGAAUUUCAGGUGUAGCGGUGAAAUGCGUAGAGAUCUGAAGGAAUACCAGUGGCGAAGGCGGCCCCCUGGACAAAGACUGACGCUCAGAUGCGAAAGCGUGGGGAGCAAACAGGAUUAGAUACCCUGGUAG